This 119-nucleotide ribosomal RNA is filed under the name Hordeum vulgare subsp. vulgare (domesticated barley). Lineage: Eukaryota; Viridiplantae; Streptophyta; Magnoliopsida; Poales; Poaceae. The record is from RNAcentral.
GGAUGCGAUCAUACCAGCACUAAAGCACCGGAUCCCAUCAGAACUUCGAAGUUAAGCGUGCUUGGGCGAGAGUAGUACUAGGAUGGGUGACUUCCUGGUAAGUCCUCAUGUUGCAUUCC